GCGGUUUCUAUGAUUGGU
This 18-nucleotide non-coding RNA is filed under the name Arabidopsis thaliana (thale cress). The record is from RNAcentral. Lineage: Eukaryota; Viridiplantae; Streptophyta; Magnoliopsida; Brassicales; Brassicaceae.